RNAcentral lists this ribosomal RNA (248 nucleotides) under uncultured bacterium. RNAcentral describes it as "partial small subunit ribosomal RNA". It matches the Rfam family "Bacterial small subunit ribosomal RNA", at positions 26 to 288 of the family's 1533-position model. The record is from RNAcentral.
AGAAUCAACGCUGGCGGCGUGCCUAACACAUGCAAGUCGAACGAGAAAGUGGAGCAAUCCAUUAGUAAAGUGGCGCACGGGUGAGUAACACGUGACUAACCUACCCUUGAGUGGGGGAUAACCUAGGGAAACCUGGGCUAAUACCGCAUAAUACCUUCGGGUCAAAGGAGCAAUUCGCUUAAGGAGGGGGUCGCGGCCGAUUAGUUAGUUGGCGGGGUAAUGGCCCACCAAGACGAUGAUCGGUAUCC